This 76-nucleotide transfer RNA is filed under the name Gemmatimonadota bacterium. RNAcentral's name for it is "Gemmatimonadetes bacterium tRNA-Thr". It matches the Rfam family "tRNA". From Rfam's summary of the family: Transfer RNA (tRNA) molecules are approximately 80 nucleotides in length. Their secondary structure includes four short double-helical elements and three loops (D, anti-codon, and T loops). Further hydrogen bonds mediate the characteristic L-shaped molecular structure. tRNAs have two regions of fundamental functional importance: the anti-codon, which is responsible for specific mRNA codon recognition, and the 3' end, to which the tRNAs corresponding amino acid is attached (by aminoacyl-tRNA synthetases). tRNAs cope with the degeneracy of the genetic code in two manners: having more than one tRNA (with a specific anti-codon) for a particular amino acid; and 'wobble' base-pairing, i.e. permitting non-standard base-pairing at the 3rd anti-codon position. Lineage: Bacteria; Pseudomonadati; Gemmatimonadota. The record is from RNAcentral. RNAcentral also lists the same sequence under 1 other name.
GCCGCCCUAGCUCAGCUGGUAGAGCACCUGAUUUGUAAUCAGGCGGUCAGCGGUUCGAGUCCGCUGGGCGGCUCCA